This is a long non-coding RNA of Dreissena polymorpha, 982 nucleotides long. RefSeq lists it as uncharacterized. Lineage: Eukaryota; Metazoa; Mollusca; Bivalvia; Myida; Dreissenidae. The transcript is spliced from 5 exons. The record is from RefSeq and is a predicted model, not a curated record.
UGACCAGUUGCCGCAAUGACUAGAAUUCGAUGUAAACCUACAAAAAAAAACAUUAAGCAAACACUAGAUAAACACUUUGUUAUUUUAUACAAGCUGGUGUCAGCCGAUAUGGACAAUUGAUUUUUCUCGAUGCGAAAACUUGAGUCGCCGUGUCACAUCCAGCUUGUGUCUACUUGUAUAUGCGACAUCAAGCUCCACAUCUGUUUCACCGGAACACCCAGCAAGACUGUGGUACUGUUUGACGUGGUCGCAGUUCAAAAGGGAGAACGAGUGGACCCCGAGAACGGUUACACGCAUUCAAGACAUCGUUAGCCACAGAAUCAUCCAUGCGCACGACACUUUCCAGACUGUGGUACUGUUUGACGUGGUCGCAGUUCAAAAGGGAGAACGAGUGGACCCCGAGAACGGUUACACGCAUUCAAGACAUCGUUAGCCACAGAAUCAUCCAUGCGCACGACACUUUCCAGACUGUGGUACUGUUUGACGUGGUCGCAGUUCAAAAGGGAGAACGAGUGAACCCCGAGAACGGUUACACGCAUUCAAGACAUCGUUAGCCACAGAAUCAUCCAAGUGCACGACACUUUCCAGGUCAGGGUCUGAAUUCAAUGGAAUAGAAUCUUGAACUUGUUUCUCUACACAGGGCACAUGACUGCAGAGACUUUAUAGUUUGGAAAUACUCCUUUUUUUUUAAAGUGAACCUUUGUUUUUCAUAGCGCGAUUGUUUUUAUAACUGUGCUGUCAUUUCAUAUGGAGUGAUCUCAUUUUGAAUGGUAUUUUAAUGAAUGAAUAUCAAUAUUUGGUGCAUGUAUAAUGUUAUCAUAUGGGAAUAUACAUCUGUAAGACUGAUUGAUAUUGUCAAUAAUCAUUUCAAACAUUUGACAUAUAACUUGUGCUUCUCUACCAAAUAGAGUCCAAUAUUGUGAAUAGGAACACUAUUUUUUUUAUUAUUUCUGUUCUGGUUGUUCCCCUUGAAUUGUUUGAA